ACGGUCGACUUGCGAGGAUAUCUCUCAAACGGAGCAUGCAGAGGUAGGAGCGGCGAUGCUGAAAACCGAUACCCGCCAAGCGAAUUGGCGCCGUGCCAAUCCAGGGAAAUACGAUGCUCAUCUCGCUGUGCAGCGAGCAGUGAAGGCAGGCGAACUGGAAAAGCAAACGUGCGAGGUCUGCGGGAUCGAAGCGGUCGAUGCCCAUCACGAUCAAUACGACGAGCCUUUAAAGGUGCGGUGGCUUUGCCGCCGACAUCACACGAGGCUUCAUCACUACGGCGAAGACAUGUUUCCGAUCAGGGAUGCACUUUAGAGAUCCCCGGAGCUGAAUUACGGCGGGGCAAGUUGGUCUUGCCGUCAGCGCGGCUGGAUCACGAUCAGCGAAUGUAAUUACGACGUUCUGGAACGAUCGUACUACCUCGAUUCCGGACAAGAACCGGUU
This 442-nucleotide small RNA is filed under the name Sinorhizobium meliloti 2011. RNAcentral's name for it is "putative ncRNA". The record is from RNAcentral. Lineage: Bacteria; Pseudomonadati; Pseudomonadota; Alphaproteobacteria; Hyphomicrobiales; Rhizobiaceae.